GAUGAAGAACGUAGCGAAAUGCGAUAAGUAAUGUGAAUUGCAGAAUUCAGUGAAUCAUCGAAUCUUUGAACGCACAUUGCGCCCCCUGGUAUUCCGGGGGGCAUGCCUGUCCGAGCGUCAUUACAACCCUCAAGCUCAGCUUGGUGUUGGGCCCCGCCGCCCCGGCGGGCCCUAAAGUCAGUGGCGGUGCCGUCCGGCUCCGAGCGUAGUAAUUCUUCUCGCUCUGGAGGUCCGGUCGUGUGCUCGCCAGCAACCACCAAUUUUUUUCAGGUUGACCUCGGAUCAGGUAGGGAUACCCGCUGAACUUAAGCAUAUCAAUAAGCGGAGGA
Molecule: unclassified non-coding RNA, 329 nt
Filed under: soil metagenome
Description: partial contains 5.8S ribosomal RNA, internal transcribed spacer 2, and large subunit ribosomal RNA
Rfam family: 5.8S ribosomal RNA (bases 1-120)
Source: RNAcentral